UAAAGACGCAUGCAGGUGGUUUGUUUAAGUUCAGAUGUGAAAGACCCGGGGCCGUCAACCUACCGGAAUAAGCAUUUGUAAACUAGGCAGACUAGAGUACUGUAGAGGGGGGUAGGAAGUUUCUAGGUGUAGCGGUGAAAUAGCGUAGAGAUCUGAAGGAAUACCGGUGGCGAAGGCGGCCCCCCUCGGACAGAUACUGACACUCAGAUGCGAAAGCGUGGGGAGCAAACAGGAUUAGAUACCCUGGUAG
This 250-nucleotide ribosomal RNA is filed under the name uncultured bacterium. RNAcentral's name for it is "partial 16S ribosomal RNA". It matches the Rfam family "Bacterial small subunit ribosomal RNA", at positions 561 to 793 of the family's 1533-position model. The record is from RNAcentral.